GCAUUAACAUUCCGCCUGGGAGUACGUCGCAAGGCUGAAACUCAAAGGAAUUGACGGGGGCCCGCACAAGCGGUGGAGCAUGUGGUUAAUUCGACGCAACGCGAAGAACCUUACCCGGGCUUGAACUGCAGGUGACCAUCCACGAAAGUGGACUUCCGCAAGGACGCCUGUAGAGGUGCUGCAUGGCUGUCGUCAGCUCGUGUCGUGAGAUGUUGGGUUAAGUCCCGCAACGAGCGCAACCCUCGUUCGCUGUUGCCAUCAGGUCAAGCUGGGCACUCUGCGGAGACUGCCGGUGACAAACCGGAGGAAGGUGGGGAUGACGUCAAGUCAGCAUGGCCUUUAUGUCCGGGGCUACACACGUGCUACAAUGGCCGGUACAAACCGUCGCGAUCCCGCAAGGGGGAGCUAAUCGGAGAAAGCCGGUCUCAGUUCGGAUCGCAGGCUGCAACUCGCCUGCGUGAAGUCGGAAUCGCUAGUAAUCGCGGAUCAGCACGCCGCGGUGAAUACGUUCCCGGGCCUUGUACACACCGCCCGUCACAUCACGAAAGCUGCCUGUACUAGAAAUCGCCGGGCUAACCCGCAAGGGGGGCAAGCGCUUAAGGUAUGGGUAGUGAUUGGGGUGAAGUCGUAACAAGGUAACCGUAAAGACUGGAGAUCUG
Molecule: ribosomal RNA, 659 nt
Filed under: uncultured bacterium
Lineage: Bacteria
Description: bacterial SSU rRNA
Rfam family: Bacterial small subunit ribosomal RNA
Source: RNAcentral